Long non-coding RNA from Amphimedon queenslandica, 1188 nucleotides. RefSeq lists it as uncharacterized. Lineage: Eukaryota; Metazoa; Porifera; Demospongiae; Haplosclerida; Niphatidae. The transcript has 8 exons. The record is from RefSeq and is a predicted model, not a curated record.
ACCCAAGAGUUACCAUGCAUGAUCCGUGAAUGAUGGGUAUCAGGCCUGGACCAGGUCUGAUUCUAUAACGGUCCAGCAUCGACGGCCAUCACUGCUGAAUCGAGGCUGUUGCUCUGGCCUGGACCAGUAUCUAUUUCAGUCCCGAUGUAGUCAUAGCUGAUACAGUAGUGUCUGUUCGUCAGCACUGGUCCAGGCUGUAUAUCAGUACUGGAUCAGAUUGAUGCUUUUUAAGAUGGCAGCCCCGUGUGGACUAUCUGACAUGUUUUGUUAAAGAAAAUCAUCUUAAUCUGACUUUUUAAGAGGAAUCUUGUUGGCUGUAUACACUAGGGCUAAAUCACUGGAUGUUAUGCUAUUUUGAACCAUUUAUUACUUAAACAUGAGUAGGAUACAUCAUAUUUUGAGUAAAAAGUAGGCACAUGUAGAUACACAAUCAAGCUAAAUAAAUUAAUUGAGCAGAUACAUGACUGAAAAAUAAAACGACUGACACUUUCCAAUUAAAGUUUACCACAUCUUGCCUACAAAAUCUCUAUGAUAUGAAAGUAGAGACCUGGGUUUAUGAGGAAUUAUCAAAGGGUAUUGAGCCAAGCAUUGAAACAGAGCCAGAAAACCUUUCUGCAAUAAUCAUGACACUGGUGAAGACGAUGAGAAAUCAGGCGUAAAAAUGGUUCACUACAUGUGAUUGUAACUAUGUUUUUAAUUAGGGUGAAUGUAUUAGUGAUCAUGAUGAUGAAGAUAUUGUACUGAGAGACUUAUGAAUGAUAGUCACAAGUGUGAAUUUUUGAUGCGGAAGAUUAUUCUGGAAAUAUUAGUAUAGUAGGUGCUCCUUUAAUUCAUAUUAAUUUAUUAAUUUAGCAAGGCCACUAGUAUACAUUCUAUAGUUACCUUAUCUCACUAAGUUUCAAGACAAGAAUAUCUUAGCUCUUGUUAAGUUCACUUCAAAUAGCAUUGAAUUUUUUUGUGAACCUGCCUUCAUCAUGCUGGUUAAGGAAGUUAUGUUAUGGAACUAAGCUUUGUAGGACUAUGUGUGACAAGAUACCUUUGAAAGAUCUGCUUCACUACAUGGAACCCGAGAGUUCAUUAAUGUUGGAGAUUUUGGGAAAUUAAUUUCUCAGUAAUGUGUCUUAACUUACAAAACAUGAAGUGUCUUACUUGUAGAACAUUGGUAGACUAUGAUGAAGAAAACAAUUA